This 21-nucleotide non-coding RNA is filed under the name Rattus norvegicus (Norway rat). The record is from RNAcentral. Lineage: Eukaryota; Metazoa; Chordata; Mammalia; Rodentia; Muridae.
CUUUCGACCUCUGGUAGCUAC